UAGUAACUUUUAGAUAUUUAGAGUCACUUUUAUUAGAUAUUGGUGACUCUUAAAGUCUUAUUUUGUUUCUUUUAUUUGGUGUUUAGGGCAUAUAUUAUAUAAAUCUUAUAAGAAAAAGAAUUGGAGAAGAGUCUUGGUAGCAAAAAAGAGAAGUUACGGCAUCCAUGUCGAUGAAUGGAAAUAGAUGAUGAAAAUCUCCAUUCCUAUUAGUCAAAAAUCAUGACCAAUGGGCUUCAAAGAGGCUGCUUGAGGCCAUAUUAGGGAUUAGGAUUAGUUUUUCAGGGGCAUUUGAGCUUUGGAGGCUAGAAUCAGCAAGUUUAGGUUUUUAGCUACAGUUUUGUUGCAAAUUUUGAGUCAUUUGGAGUUUAUAUGAAAGAGAUAUGGACGCUCAAAGUUAGGGUAUUGAUUUUGUACCUAUUGUCACUCUUUUGGAUAUAACACACGCGUACAAAAAGCAACAGAGGAUCAACGACUAGGAUUGGAGAGAACACUCUCUCGGCUAUACUAUUAGUAUAUUUUUUGAUGGAUUUCAAGUUUAGAUGAAGGAGAUAUUGGAGGUUGAAGUCAAUGCUUGCAAAAUUAAGGGUAGUAAGUGACAUGAAUUGCUAGUAGUUGUAUUUUGAGCUAUAUCUUGUGUAAUUUGACAAGAUUUUGGCUAAAAAUUUCUAAGAAUGUAUAUUUUUAUGUCAUUAAACUUUAUAUAUAAGUUUUGUGAGAUUUGGAUUUUGGGUUUGUGAGAUAUGAAGGAAAUAGUACUUAGGUGCUUAUGAAUUAGGGUUUUAGAAUACCUACUAAAGUUUUUAAGAUGCAAGAUGGUUGUUAGCAAAUUUAUGGUUGAUUUUUUGUAAGAUAAAGCUUAAGGGUGAAUUCUAUAAUAUUUUUGAAUUUAGCAAAAUUUGAACAGUUGGAUCAAGAGUUAUGAAUUUCUAAAAUUUGAGAAGAAAAAAUUCUUUGUAGGAAUAUUAUAUUUUGAAGGGAUUUUAUUAUGACUUGAGCAUUUUAUACAAAGUAAAUGAGUAUUUUUGGAGCCAAGAUUUUAUAUAUAUAUAUUGAAGAUGGAUAUAUGGAGCUAUGCUUGAGUUUUUAUAUAAAGAUG
RNAcentral lists this long non-coding RNA (1096 nucleotides) under Physcomitrium patens. RNAcentral's name for it is "long non-coding RNA (PPAT_LNC005942)". The record is from RNAcentral. Lineage: Eukaryota; Viridiplantae; Streptophyta; Bryopsida; Funariales; Funariaceae.